Molecule: ribosomal RNA, 429 nt
Filed under: uncultured bacterium
Lineage: Bacteria
Description: bacterial SSU rRNA
Rfam family: Bacterial small subunit ribosomal RNA
Source: RNAcentral
UGGGGAAUAUUGCACAAUGGGCGAAAGCCUGAUGCAGCCAUGCCGCGUGUGUGAAGAAGGCUCUAGGGUUGUAAAGCACUUUCAGUAGGGAGGAAACGUUAUCGGUUAAUAGCUGAUAGCUUUGACGUUACCUACAGAAGAAGCACCGGCAAACUCCGUGCCAGCAGCCGCGGUAAUACGGAGGGUGCGAGCGUUAAUCGGAAUUACUGGGCGUAAAGCGCGCGUAGGUGGUUUGAUAAGCUAGCUGUGAAAGCCCCGGGCUCAACCUGGGAACUGCAGUUAGAACUGUCUGGCUAGAGUACAGUAGAGGGUGGCGGAAUUUCCUGUGUAGCGGUGAAAUGCGUAGAUAUAGGAAGGAACAUCAGUGGCGAAGGCGGCCACCUGGACUGAUACUGACACUGAGGUGCGAAAGCGUGGGGAGCAAACAGG